GUGCCAGCCGCCGCGGUAAUGCGUAGGGUGCAAGCGUUAAUCGGAAUUACUGGGCGUAAAGCGUGCGCAGGCGGUUAUAUAAGUCAGAUGUGAAAUCCCCGGGCUCAACCUGGGAACUGCAUUUGAGACUGUAUAGCUAGAGUACGGUAGAGGGGGAUGGAAUUCCGCGUGUAGCAGUGAAAUGCGUAGAUAUGCGGAGGAACACCGAUGGCGAAGGCAAUCCCUGGACCUGUACUGACGCUCAUGCACGAAAGC
Molecule: ribosomal RNA, 255 nt
Filed under: uncultured Limnohabitans sp.
Lineage: Bacteria; Pseudomonadati; Pseudomonadota; Betaproteobacteria; Burkholderiales; Comamonadaceae
Description: partial 16S ribosomal RNA
Rfam family: Bacterial small subunit ribosomal RNA
Source: RNAcentral